GGCUCCACUCCUUGCCCCUAGGCAUGCCCAGAGACAACAGCCCAGCAUGGGAAGCAAACUUAAUUCCAAACCAAGGGCAUACCUUGGCACAAAAGCAGCCAGAGACAGAGACUGGAGUGGGCUGUGCUCUGGGAGGGCACACUAGGCACCUGCACACACUACAAGCUGUGCAGCCCAGGUUGGAGCAAGGCUGGACCGUGGCUUGCACUGCUGCCAGCACACCAGAGCUCAUCUCUGGGCUGUCCUGAGGAAGAUCUGCCACAUCUGCCUCCUCACUGAGCAUAACUGCUGCUUACAAGCUCAGAGCUGCGAGCCCGACAUGCAGUGGGAUGGGGUGCAAUGCAGCAAGGAUGAGCUCUGGAAACCAUCUCAUGUGAGCAGCUGCUCCAAGGCAGGACACACUGUUUCAGCAGCUAAAUGUGAAGGGGCAAAUGCCUGUUUGCCCUGGCAUCUCUUGCACUUCACUAAGCCAAAGAAGCAGCAUUCACUGGAAGUGACCUUAGCAGCUCCCUCGGGCCUUCACUUCUCAUCCUCCUUACUGCCUCCAGUUCUCACCCUGAGCUCUGUAAUCCCUGGGGCUGAGUCUCGUGGAGGCUGAAUCUAAACAGUUUCACCCCGGACUGCAGCACUUCUCAAGGCAAGCACAGAAGUGCAUUAACCCAGCUUGAUAGCUACUUGCUGGCUGCUUACAGGAGAGAACACAGAAACAUAGACAGGUAUUUGAGGACAGGGGAUGACCAAGUAUAGACACACCUGGACGUGGCUUUUGGGUUAAUCCAGACAUAGACUUUUAUCCUGUGUGCUCACUGAAUCCAAAUCACAGAAAGGAUUAAAGCUAGUUGAAUCACAAAGUCCUGGCUGGUGGUAGAUUAACUCCAGAGCUAGAAGGUAAAAUACCAGAAUCAGCUAUUUUUUACUAUUCUGUACCUUUUUAAUUGUCAAUUCUGGCAAGCUCAUGGCUUCCUCUAGUAGGUCUGCCUACUAAUAAGGACCCUGUGAUGUAAAUUCAAGGCACCUAGAGUCUUACAGUGCCUGACUUUAAGAGCUGCCAGUGUGCAAAUCACCUCUGUCCCCAGUGCCCUUCUCAUUUCAGGAGCUUGCACGUGCUGUGUCCCGCACAGGGAGGCACACCCCCUGACAACAGCACAGCCUUUAUGUGCAGGGGCAAAUCCUGUCCUGGCCCCUCUGAGCUGACAGAGCCACUGCUGCCAGAGCCAGCAUUGUGCUGCUGGCAGGCAGCUGAGACCACUGUGCCAGGAUUGCCUGUGAGCCCAGAGAUGCGGUGCUGUAUCGGCUGCUCCACGUCCCUGCAUGAGAUCAGCAGCACUGUCACAAAUGGAGACUCUCAGCAAUCAUGGCAUGCUGGAAUUCUCUAGAGACCACUCCAUCCUUCAAGUGAAACUGUCCAAGUGUUCAAGCCCCAGAGUCAGGUUUCUCAGCUAGCUAUCUUGGGGAUUUUCACAGGAGCAUAUAGAAGUGACCACCAGGAACAUAAAGCACUGCAGACUUUCCCAUUACCCACCCAAGAUUUAGUACUCUUCUAGGCUCGUAAUAAAAAGGACUCUGUUGCUAAUUAAUCACCUGAUUAAGGUUCCGGGCUUGCAGAUCUCAUUUUUUCAUACUGAGACGUGCUUUCUUUCACUGCCUGUCAGCAUAGCUGGACUUGAACCCUUGC
Molecule: long non-coding RNA, 1675 nt
Organism: Cyanistes caeruleus (blue tit)
Lineage: Eukaryota; Metazoa; Chordata; Aves; Passeriformes; Paridae
Source: RefSeq, a predicted model, not a curated record